GUGGGGAAUCUUGCGCAAUGGGCGAAAGCCUGACGCAGCCAUGCCGCGUGAAUGAUGAAGGUCUUAGGAUUGUAAAAUUCUUUCACCGGGGACGAUAAUGACGGUACCCGGAGAAGAAGCUCCGGCUAACUUCGUGCCAGCAGCCGCGGUAAUACGAAGGGGGCUAGCGUUGCUCGGAAUUACUGGGCGUAAAGGGCGCGUAGGCGGACAGCUUAGUCAGAGGUGAAAGCCCAGGGCUCAACCUUGGAAUUGCCUUUGAUACUGGCUGUCUUGAGUUUGGGAGAGGUGAGUGGAACGCCGAGUGUAGAGGUGAAAUUCGUAGAUAUUCGGAAGAACACCAGUGGCGAAGGCGACUCACUGGCCCAAUACUGACGCUGAGGCGCGAAAGCGUGGGGAGCAAACAGGAUUAGAAACCCCUGUAGUCC
This 425-nucleotide ribosomal RNA is filed under the name uncultured bacterium. Its description in RNAcentral is "partial 16S ribosomal RNA". It matches the Rfam family "Bacterial small subunit ribosomal RNA", at positions 354 to 796 of the family's 1533-position model. The record is from RNAcentral.